AAGGGAGACCUAAUUCAGGUAGGAGACGAAAAAAAAGUAGUCCCUACCAGGAAUCAAUCCCAAAAGGUCGGAGCGAGGCGAAAUUGGCUUUCAAACUAGGUUCUGGGUUCAAACAAGACCUGAAUCAGGAACAAGGGCUAUUAGCUCAGGUGGUUAGAGCGCACCCCUGAUAAGGGUGAGGUCCCUGGUUCGAGUCCAGGAUGGCCCACCUGCACAGGUGGCAAAAACAAAGAAGCGAGGAAUCAGCACCUUAUCUUAUCUAUAUAUAUAGGAGAGAAUGCUGGCUCUGAGUAAAGAGUCCAGAGGAACCUUGAAAACUGCAUAGAGCUAGGUGAAAAAGCCAAAAAAGAAGACCGCAA
This 359-nucleotide transfer RNA is filed under the name Microcystis sp. BG42. RNAcentral's name for it is "16S-23S ribosomal RNA intergenic spacer". The stretch from base 135 to 208 matches the Rfam family "tRNA". Lineage: Bacteria; Bacillati; Cyanobacteriota; Cyanophyceae; Chroococcales; Microcystaceae. The record is from RNAcentral.